This 485-nucleotide ribosomal RNA is filed under the name uncultured Lachnospiraceae bacterium. RNAcentral describes it as "partial 16S ribosomal RNA". Lineage: Bacteria; Bacillati; Bacillota; Clostridia; Lachnospirales; Lachnospiraceae. The record is from RNAcentral.
CACGUAGUUAGCCGGGGCUUCUUACUCAGGUACCGUCUUCUUUCUUCCCUGCUGAUAGAGCUUUACAUCACGAAUGACUUCUUCACUCACGCGGCGUCGCUGCAUCAGGGUUCCCCCCAUUGUGCAAUAUUCCCCACUGCUGCCUCCCGUAGGAGUUUGGGCCGUGUCUCAGUCCCAAUGUGGCCGUCCGCCCUCUCAGGCCGGCUACCGAUCGUCGCUUUGGUGGGCCGCUACCCCCGCAACUGGCUAAUCGGACGCGGGCCCAUCCCAUACCACCGGAGUUUUUCACACUGUACCAUGCGGUUCUGUGCGCUUAUGCGGUUUAGCAGCCGUUUCGGCUGGUAUCCCCCGGUAUGGGCAGGUUGCUCACGCGUUACUCAUCCGUCCGCCACUAAAUAAAAUCACUAGGUUCCAUUUUAUUCCCGUUCGACUUUGCAUGUGUUAGGCACGCCGCCAGCGUUCAUCCUGAGCCAGGAUCAAACUCU